RNAcentral lists this ribosomal RNA (460 nucleotides) under uncultured bacterium. Its description in RNAcentral is "partial 16S ribosomal RNA". It matches the Rfam family "Bacterial small subunit ribosomal RNA", at positions 338 to 795 of the family's 1533-position model. The record is from RNAcentral.
CCUACGGGGGGCAGCAGUGAGGAAUAUUGGUCAAUGGACGAGAGUCUGAACCAGCCAAGUAGCGUGAAGGAUGACUGCCCUAUGGGUUGUAAACUUCUUUUAUAUGGGAAUAAAAUGUUCCACGUGUGGGAUUUUGUAUGUACCAUAUGAAUAAGGAUCGGCUAACUCCGUGCCAGCAGCCGCGGUAAUACGGAGGAUCCGAGCGUUAUCCGGAUUUAUUGGGUUUAAAGGGAGCGUAGGUGGAUUGUUAAGUCAGUUGUGAAAGUUUGCGGCUCAACCGUAAAAUUGCAGUUGAAACUGGCAGUCUUGAGUACAGGAGAGGUAGGCGGAAUUCGUGGUGUAGCGGUGAAAUGCUUAGAUAUGACGAAGAACUCCGAUUGCGAAGGCAGUUCACUGGACUGCAACUGACACUGAGGCUCGAAAGUGUGGGUAUCAAACAGGAUUAGAUACCCGUGUAGUC